RNAcentral lists this ribosomal RNA (496 nucleotides) under uncultured bacterium. Its description in RNAcentral is "bacterial SSU rRNA". It matches the Rfam family "Bacterial small subunit ribosomal RNA", at positions 899 to 1397 of the family's 1533-position model. The record is from RNAcentral.
ACUCAAAGGAAUUGACGGGGGCCCGCACAAGCGGAGGAACAUGUGGUUUAAUUCGAUGAUACGCGAGGAACCUUACCUGGGCUUAAAUGGGGAGUGACGUUUGCUGAAAGGCGGAUUUCUUCGGACACUCUUCAAGGUGCUGCAUGGUUGUCGUCAGCUCGUGCCGUGAGGUGUCGGGUUAAGUCCCAUAACGAGCGCAACCCUUACUGUUAGUUGCCAGCGCGUAAAGGCGGGGACUCUAGCGGGACUGCCACCGUAAGGUGAGAGGAAGGUGGGGAUGACGUCAAAUCAGCACGGCCCUUAUGUCCAGGGCUACACACGUGUUACAAUGGCCGGUACAAAGGGCAGCUACACUGCGAAGUGAUGCUAAUCUCUAAAGCCGGUCCCAGUUCGGAUCGAAGUCUGCAACCCGACUUCGUGAAGUUGGAUUCGCUAGUAAUCGCGCAUCAGCCAUGGCGCGGUGAAUACGUUCCCGGGCCUUGUACACACCGCCCGU